Long non-coding RNA from Chiroxiphia lanceolata (lance-tailed manakin), 1755 nucleotides. RefSeq lists it as uncharacterized. Lineage: Eukaryota; Metazoa; Chordata; Aves; Passeriformes; Pipridae. The record is from RefSeq and is a predicted model, not a curated record. The transcript is spliced from 4 exons.
GCGCCCAGCUGACGCGGGGCUGGAGGCUCACAGUCAGGACCCGAGCUCUCGGGGACUAAAUCAUCCUAGUUUAAACGCACCCUCUGCCAGGGCUCCAGUUGGGAGCUCCUUGCCAUUGCUCUAAACACAUCCUAGGGGUUCCUGCCUCCCCCUCAGCACGCCUGUAACCCUAAGGUAGCCGAGCGGUGGGGGUUCGAGGCUCCCUCCCUCCUUUUGCCCUUCACGAGAGCGCUUUUCUGGGCGCACAAGUGUGUGUGUGAGGAGCGGAGAGGAGCACCGAGAGGGUAAGUGAAUCCCUUACUUCAGCCGGGGUGGGCAGGAGGAGACCUCUCACGUCACCCGAGGAUCAGAGGGCUCCUUCGUCGCGCCGAAGGUGGGAUCCCGAGCGGCCUCUUCAGCCUGCAGCGAGCUGGGGGAGCCUCUCGGGGAUGCGACCGCCUUGGAAAAGCCCCCUCCAUGGCUAGGCACCCUGCCACCUCCGCGCGUGUGUACUUCUGAGAUUGGGACAAUAGCUGGAGUGGAUUAUGCAUUCCCGUAGGCGAGACUUCCCUAUAUGAGCUUCAGGAUGCAGUUGGAAGCUCGGGAACAAAGCGGGCAUCGAAUGUCAAGAAAAAAUAGUUCUGCUGAGCCCCCAGGUCUGGACUUUGGGGAGCGUGGCACAGUGGUCUGAUAUAAAAGCACUGUCUCUGUGGGUAGAAACUCUCCUGUGUACCAUGAGGCUUGCAAGAAAGGCAGCGAGGGGACAUUUGGAGUAACCAUGCAUCUGGCAUCAAGCGACAAUUCACUUCACGCUACCGCAGAGGAGUUUGUUCCCAAACCAAAUACUUUGUGGUGCUCAGUGCUGGUGUCAAAUUGGUUUGAACUGUCCCAAGUCUAAAAUAAAGACUUCCACUGUGGUAUACCAGUGAGCUUUCCUUGCUAAAACUUCCCUGCUUGUGCUGAAGGUAUAGAGCUGAUGUAAUACCGUCUUUUCCCUCCACGGAUGGGCGCAAUAGGAAAAGUUCAGAAAAGUUCUGUUUAUCUUUUUUCUCCUUGUAGUUGAAGAAAUGCAAGCUAUCAGAAACAAGCCUAAGUUUGAAGGUACAGUUUUCAACAUGUGAGUUGGAAACAUAUGCACUGGCACUAUUCAACCGAUCUGUAAGGGCUGUGCUCGAAUUUUGGCUUUUAAUCUCAACUCUGUUAGAGAGAGAUGCAAAAUGGAAUGGAAUCUGAUUAUUUAUGCUGUAGCCUUGUGAUACAUAUCCUAUAACCAUUGGAGAGAGAAGCAAAACACUUUGCUAAAACUUUGGGUGAACCUGAGUUUCAAGGGGAUUCUAGUCUUCACAGGUUCUUACUUCACUGCCUUUCUUCCCUUAGUAUUUGUUAUGUGGGAUUUUUUUCUGCUGUUCUACGUUUUAAAGUGAGUAGAGACUAAAUCCUGCUGAGAGAGUGAGCUCCCUCCACCACAGACUCACGUUUGGAAAAUGCCUUCCCCUUUUGACUGCCCCCCUUCAAAUCAUCCUCUCCCUUUCAGGGCAGAAAAGAAAACUUUAAAAGAGAAAGAGAGAAGUGGGAGUGGGGAGGACAGGGGAACCCCUGAUUCCUCAGUGAUCUGCACAGCUCCGACAGACCUACAAGUUCCCCUUCACCUCUGCCAGACAAGUCCCGUCGGAGAAAAAACCCCAUGCCUGAACUUUUAGCGUGGCUUGGGGUUUAUACAAUUCUGGCUCCAUUUCAGAAAUCUCGAAAGGGGGAAAAAAAAUAACAAACACCAAA